RNAcentral lists this transfer RNA (76 nucleotides) under Thomasclavelia cocleata. Its description in RNAcentral is "[Clostridium] cocleatum tRNA-Arg". It matches the Rfam family "tRNA". From Rfam's summary of the family: Transfer RNA (tRNA) molecules are approximately 80 nucleotides in length. The record is from RNAcentral. Lineage: Bacteria; Bacillati; Bacillota; Erysipelotrichia; Erysipelotrichales; Coprobacillaceae.
GUCCUCGUAGCAUAAUGGAUAAUGCAGUCGCCUCCUAAGCGACAGAGUGAUGGUUCGACCCCAUUCGAGGACGCCA